This 247-nucleotide long non-coding RNA is filed under the name Mustela putorius furo (domestic ferret). RNAcentral's name for it is "lncRNA (ENSMPUG00000028544.1)". The record is from RNAcentral. Lineage: Eukaryota; Metazoa; Chordata; Mammalia; Carnivora; Mustelidae.
AAUAUCCUCUCUUCUGUUCCUCGCUGGAUUCUCCGGCAUCUACAGCAGAGCUGGUACAUAGUGGUCAUCGCAUGUUUGUUGAAUGAAUGGAAUGCCACUUGCAGCCAAAAAUUUAGGAAGAGCGCCACGAACUAGAGCGAAGGGAUAGAACUCGGCUGUCAUCUCUCCCCCAGAGUACCAGCAUCUCGGCCAGCGCCCCGUAGGUCUGUUUUCAGUGUGCUUAGACACGUUGCAAUUUAUUGAAGAG